This 346-nucleotide ribosomal RNA is filed under the name Skistodiaptomus carolinensis. RNAcentral describes it as "partial 16S ribosomal RNA". The record is from RNAcentral. Lineage: Eukaryota; Metazoa; Arthropoda; Copepoda; Calanoida; Diaptomidae.
UAGUCUUUUCAUUGAAGAAUAGAAUGAAUGGUUUCACCGACUUUCCAUUUCCUAUAUAACCUUGAAUUUUUAUUUUAAUGAAAAGAUUAAAAUUAUUUUUUUAGACGAUAAGACCCUAUGAAGCUUUACUAAUAUUUAGUUUUUUUGGGGCAAACAAAAAAUUUGUUAUUUUCUUGUUGUUAAAUUCUGAUCUUAAAAAAUUUAAAGAAAAAGCUACUCUAGGGAUAACAGCAUUAUUUUUAUUAAAGUUCUUAUUAAAUUAAAAGUUUGUGACCUCGAUGUUGAAUUAAGGAAGAUAAUUUGUGUAGCAGCUAAUUAUUUUUAGUCUGUUCGACUAAUUCUCCUU